This 253-nucleotide ribosomal RNA is filed under the name uncultured bacterium. RNAcentral describes it as "partial 16S ribosomal RNA". It matches the Rfam family "Bacterial small subunit ribosomal RNA", at positions 524 to 776 of the family's 1533-position model. The record is from RNAcentral.
UACAGAGGCCUCAAGCGUUGUUCGGAUUCAUUGGGCGUAAAGGGUGCGUAGGCGGCGCGGUAAGUCGGGUGUGAAAUCUCGGAGCUUAACUCCGAAACUGCAUUCGAUACUGCCGUGCUUGAGGACUGGAGAGGAGACUGGAAUUUACGGUGUAGCGGUGAAAUGCGUAGAUAUCGUAAGGAAGACCAGUGGCGAAGGCGGGUCUCUGGACAGUUCCUGACACUGAGACACGAAGGCCAGGGGAGCAAACGGG